RNAcentral lists this long non-coding RNA (284 nucleotides) under Solanum tuberosum (potato). RNAcentral describes it as "long non-coding RNA (STUB_LNC000685)". Lineage: Eukaryota; Viridiplantae; Streptophyta; Magnoliopsida; Solanales; Solanaceae. The record is from RNAcentral.
UGGGGUAGGGGUUUUGAGGUUGUUUGUGUGCUGUUGUUCUGGUUGUUUAAUGGUGAUUUGGUGGUUGGUCUGGCAGUGAGGUUAAAGCUCGCCAACAAUGGCGAUUUGAAGAGGAAAACGGGAAAGGGGGCUGAUGGUUUCAGGUGGUAUUUUGGGUCGGAUUUGGUCGGGGUUUUCGUGUUGAUUUUCGCUGAUUUGGUUUGGGGUUUUGAUUUCACUGUUGUUUGCUAGUUUAAGCUGGCCGAAAAUGGAGUCUGGUUCGUGUGAGCUGCUGACCAGCUGGG